CUAGAAGGACUGCUUCAUACCUUGAUCUUUUCCUCAAUAUUGACGUAGAUGGACGACUUCACACGAAAAUCUAUGAUAAACGGGACGAUUUCAACUUCCCAAUUAUCAAUUUCCCAUUUCUUAGCAGUAACAUACCCUCUGCCCCUUCGUAUGGUGUUUACAUAUCACAAUUGAUACGUUAUUCUCGUGCUUGUUCACACUAUACGGAC
RNAcentral lists this long non-coding RNA (209 nucleotides) under Mytilus galloprovincialis (Mediterranean mussel). Lineage: Eukaryota; Metazoa; Mollusca; Bivalvia; Mytilida; Mytilidae. The record is from RNAcentral.